UGAACGCUGGCGGCAGGCCUAACACAUGCAAGUCGAACGGUAACAGGCAGAAGCUUGCUUCUUUGCUUACGAGUGGCGGACGGGUGAGUAAUGUCUGGGAAACUGCCUGAUGGAGGGGGAUAACUACUGGAAACGGUAGCUAAUACCGCAUAACGUCGCAAGACCAAAGAGGGGGACCUUCGGGCCUCUUGCCAUCGGAUGUGCCCAGAUGGGAUUAGCUAGUAGGUGGGGUAACGGCUCACCUAGGCGACGAUCCCUAGCUGGUCUGAGAGGAUGACCAGCCACACUGGAACUGAGACACGGUCCAGACUCCUACGGGAGGCAGCAGUGGGGAAUAUUGCACAAUGGGCGCAAGCCUGAUGCAGCCACGCCGCGUGUAUGAAGAAGGCCUUCGGGUUGUAAAGUACUUUCAGCGGGGAGGAAGGGAGUAAAGUUAAUACCUUUACUCAUUGACGUUACCCGCAGAAGAAGCACCGGCUAACUCCGUG
RNAcentral lists this ribosomal RNA (488 nucleotides) under uncultured bacterium. Its description in RNAcentral is "partial 16S ribosomal RNA". It matches the Rfam family "Bacterial small subunit ribosomal RNA", at positions 30 to 507 of the family's 1533-position model. The record is from RNAcentral.